GACGAACGCUGGCGGCGUGCCUAAUACAUGCAAGUGGGACGCAAGAGAACACACUGUGCUUGCACACCGUGUUUUCUUGAGUCGCGAACGGGUGAGUAACGCGUAGGUAACCUGCCUAUUAGCGGGGGAUAACUAUUGGAAACGAUAGCUAAUACCGCAUAAUAUUAAUUAUUGCAUGAUAAUUGAUUGAAAGAUGCAAGCGCAUCACUAGUAGAUGGACCUGCGUUGUAUUAGCUAGUUGGUAAGGUAAGAGCUUACCAAGGCGACGAUACAUAGCCGACCUGAGAGGGUGAUCGGCCACACUGGGACUGAGACACGGCCCAGACUCCUACGGGAGGCAGCAGUAGGGAAUCUUCGGCAAUGGACGAAAGUCUGACCGAGCAACGCCGCGUGAGUGAAGAAGGUUUUCGGAUCGUAAAGCUCUGUUGUAAGUCAAGAACGUGUGUGAGAGUGGAUUUUUCACAC
RNAcentral lists this ribosomal RNA (465 nucleotides) under Streptococcus mutans. RNAcentral describes it as "bacterial SSU rRNA". It matches the Rfam family "Bacterial small subunit ribosomal RNA", at positions 28 to 469 of the family's 1533-position model. Lineage: Bacteria; Bacillati; Bacillota; Bacilli; Lactobacillales; Streptococcaceae. The record is from RNAcentral.